Molecule: long non-coding RNA, 1257 nt
Filed under: Gallus gallus (chicken)
Lineage: Eukaryota; Metazoa; Chordata; Aves; Galliformes; Phasianidae
Description: lncRNA (ENSGALG00010028223.1)
Source: RNAcentral
UCACAAUCACUAUCACAGAUCCAAAGCAUUCAGCUCAGCUCCCCUUAGCUCCUAGUGGCUGAGGAGAACAAAAGCAUCAGUGCAGCAUCUCAACAAGUUUUGCUGUAUUGCUGCCACACAAUACAGAUGUUUUGGUAGCAAAUGCAGCCUCCAUCCAAGGAUGUGCCUUUUGAAGAGGAGAGCAGCAGAAAUGCUUUCACCCAGAGAUGCAAACAAGCCUUGAGAGGGGCAGACAAGAUUUACCCAGGAAGCAAUAGGAGCCCUUGAGCCCCGAUGCCAAUAAUCCUCAUCUGGAGUCAGUCCCGUUGGCUCCAGCCACUGCUGAGCUUGCUGGUGGAGAAAACCACUGCAUUGGAUCAAAUCAAUGUUAAAGGAAACUUCACAGAAGUCAAUAGCUAGUGGUCAAGAAGAGUUGCCAGACUCUUGCUUUCUCAGUAACUAAUAAAAGUGCUUUUUAGCACAAUUAAUGUGAUGUCUUGCUGAAGACUGAAGGAAAUCGGAAUUGAAACAUUUCUAUUUUGACAGACUCAGUGGAAAACUUCUGUUCAGACUGGUAGGAAUGAGACCAAUAAAUUUCUGUAAAAACUUUCUGAAUUCAGCCUUCAAGAUAAUAGAUAGGCUGUUCUGACUGUGGAUAAAUAAACUCUGUUUUAGUAAGCGUUUAAAGACUUUCAGGAUGACGAAGUGGAACAUACUUCAAGUCUCCAAAGAUGGGAAGUGGCUUCUGAGUCAAAUACCAAUCCAUGCCAGGGCUCAUAUUUUAGACUGAGGUCACUCUUUUGUGACUUGCUGACAGUGGUUUUUUUUUGUUGUUGUUUUGCUGUUGUUGUUGUUUUUGUGUUUUGAAGGAAAAAAGAAGAAAGAAAAAAGAAAAAGAAAACAUCACAGGCUGAAAAUAACAGUAAAACACUCCGCAGCUGCAAACCUGCUCUUAAAAAAAGCUUCCCAGGGGACAUAAAGCUUCAGCUACAGCCCAGAAAACCAGCUCAUCAAGCAACUAGUGAGGUGGAAAACCCUAACUUGGGUGACAACAGGCCCACCUGUUGCUCAUUUCUGUCAAGGCACCAGAAGACGCCAGGAAAUCUUUGUUCCCACCAGCAAGUACUCAAAGGGCAGCCUCAAGGUGGGAGCAUCUCUCUGCCUUCCCAUUUUGUGAAGACCAUCUCAACUUGCAGCUCUUGCCUGCUCAGGCCAUCCCAAAAGCAGGUGGUGGAAAGGCUGGAUCAGUACCUUCUGGAAAAGCAAGGCAGGUCUCCC